This 26-nucleotide ribosomal RNA is filed under the name Pseudagrion ignifer. RNAcentral's name for it is "partial 28S ribosomal RNA". The record is from RNAcentral. RNAcentral also lists the same sequence under 3 other names. Lineage: Eukaryota; Metazoa; Arthropoda; Insecta; Odonata; Coenagrionidae.
GCCGACCUCAGAGCAGGUGAGACCAC